GACGAACGCUGGCGGCGUGCUUAACACAUGCAAGUCGAACGGAAAGGCCCCUUUGGGGGUACUCGAGUGGCGAACGGGUGAGUAACACGUGAGUAACCUGCCCUUGACUUCGGGAUAACUUCAGGAAACUGGGGCUAAUACCGGAUAGGAAUCCUUGCUGCAUGGUGGGGGUUGGAAAGCUUCGGCGGUUUUGGAUGGACUCGCGGCUUAUCAGCUUGUUGGUGGGGUAGUGGCUUACCAAGGCUUUGACGGGUAGCCGGCCUGAGAGGGCGACCGGCCACAUUGGGACUGAGAUACGGCCCAGACUCCUACGGGAGGCAGCAGUGGGGAAUAUUGCACAAUGGGCGAAAGCCUGAUGCAGCAACGCCGCGUGCGGGAUGACGGCCUUCGGGUUGUAAACCGCUUUCAGCAGGGGCGAAGCUUGUGGUGACGGUACCUGCAGAAGAAGCACUGGCUAACUACGUGC
Molecule: ribosomal RNA, 466 nt
Filed under: uncultured bacterium
Lineage: Bacteria
Description: partial 16S ribosomal RNA
Rfam family: Bacterial small subunit ribosomal RNA
Source: RNAcentral